GUGGAGGGUUAGUAGUCUGUCUGUGUGUGAUGGGUUAGUGUUGAGUCUCUGUGUGAUGGGUGAGUGGUCAGUCUGUAUGUGGUGCCCUUCUGUUCAGUCUCUGUGAUUGACUAGUGUUCAGUCUGCAUGUGGUAGGCUAGUGUUAAGUCUGUGUGAUGGGUUAGUGUUCAGUCUGCAUGUGUUGUGCUAGUGUUCAGUCUGUAUGUGGUAGGCUAGUGUUGAGUCUCUGUCAUGGACUAGUGUUCAGUCUCUUGUGUGAUAAAUUGCUACUUAGCCUGUAUGUGGUGUGCUAAUAUAGUGGGGACUUGGUUAUUGGGUUAAUAACCAACAGUUGUACUUACUCUAGCCAAAUCCCUUAUGUUUCCUUCAGAAGUCUAUGCAGACCCCAGUUGUGGAUUUGCAUUUACAUGUUAAAGGCUCGUCGUUUUUUAAAAAGGGAAAAGCAUUUUUACAACUCGUAUAGUUAACCACAUUUUAACAGCGUUAUAAUUGGACCAUGUUUGAGGUGUGUUGGUUCAAACCUGUGGGUGGAGCCAGUGUCCAUAUUUUGAAGCAAAAUGCUAUGGGCAAAAACAAUUUUGCAUGACGUCAUAUACGUACAAAGUAUUGUCUUGUGGGAAUUAGCGGGAAGGUGUAUUUUGUUUGAAAGGACUGUUUAUUAUUCCUGUGAAUACUUACGCAUACUCGAUUACUUGCCAUUUUGCUAUCUAUAACCUGCAGAUUUUGCCACCAAUCUGACUUACAAGAAAAAAAAAAUUUUCUUCUUUUUUUAACCAUUUUCCACUGUAAAAGUUUUGUUUAAUAAUUUGGUCUUGCGUGCAGAUUUUCAUUUAGGAUCAUAUUAAUGAGCAAAAGUCCGAUGUGAGAAACAUGAGAAACGCUCGCCGGACGUCAUGUAGAAAGGGAUUUUCGGAGGAAGAAUUUGUAGGAAAGCGAAUCGGAGGCGGGGCGCUGGACGGAUAGGGAGCGAAGGAACGAAAAGGAAAGUGAAUUAUUUGAAUGGGCCCAGAGGAUCCAGGAGCGCGCUUGCUGUGUGAAAGACGAAAAAAGGGUGCAAAAACGCAAUAUUUGAGAAAAGGGUGAACGAGAAAUUCAAGCCCUUUCAGGAGUUGGAUAACUAACGAAGUGCAGAGAAACGCUGUGGGAUUUUUUUUCUUUCAAAGAAACGGGACCACAGAGAUAAUUCUCUGGGAAAACAGUCGGUAGACCCGCAGAGAUGGACACAGGACCAAGCCAAACGAAUAAGAAUGGGAGUCGUUUGGGUUAAUUGGACUUUGUUUUGAGAGGUAACUGCUAAUAUAAUUACUAACCGAGGCUGGCCUCAGUGUUCACCGUCUACCAACAGACACAUUUUCUCACACAAGAACAAAACAAACGUUAAAUUCCUGUUUGGAAAUCGGACACUGUUAUCCUACUGUUCACGACAGUAACCCGUUUCUCCCCACUCCUCCCUCCCAGCCACCGCCUCUCCCUCUGUCCUUCUCCUCUCCCUCUCCUCCGGCCUCCAAGAUAGAUUCCCUCAGGAGUAAGGUAGACCUGCUGAAGCUCCCGCUCGCCCUCUCUGCCAAAUCCCUCUCUAAGCGGAAGAGCCAGCAGGGCGGCGCCGGGGAGCGAGGGAUCGGGGGAGGGGCGCAGAAGCCCUGCCCAGCCGGCCGCCAGAGAGAGAGAGAGAUGGACACCGAGUCGCAGUACAGUGGCUACUCCUACAAGAGCUCCCACUCGCGGAGCUCCCGCAAGCACAGGUACCCGAGACACCGCGUGCACUGUACACACGCUAUACAUGCAUGAUAUGCACCCAUGCUAAACACGCUGCACACGCUGUACAUGUAU
Long non-coding RNA from Anguilla rostrata (American eel), 1830 nucleotides. RefSeq lists it as uncharacterized. NCBI's taxonomy places the organism in Eukaryota, Metazoa, Chordata, Actinopteri, Anguilliformes, Anguillidae. The record is from RefSeq and is a predicted model, not a curated record. The transcript is spliced from 3 exons.